This 209-nucleotide long non-coding RNA is filed under the name Panax ginseng (ginseng). RNAcentral describes it as "long non-coding RNA (PGIN_LNC006028)". Lineage: Eukaryota; Viridiplantae; Streptophyta; Magnoliopsida; Apiales; Araliaceae. The record is from RNAcentral.
CCGCUAUCUCUCUCUUCAUAUUGCUCCACCAAAAUGUAUGUCGAAGAUCACGAUACAUUUUGGUACUCCCAAGAUGGAUUGCAAACGGUGUGUUAUGCGCCUCCAUCAUGAUUUUAUACUUCAAGUCAUAAUCAUUAGGAACACAAAGUCUGGAGUUAACUCGAAGUAUUCCUUCUUCAUCGAUUCUUGCUUCCAGAAUAGCGUCUUCU